GGCGUGCCUAAUACAUGCAAGUCGAGCGAAUCUGAGGGAGCUUGCUCCCAAAGAUUAGCGGCGGACGGGUGAGUAACACGUGGGCAACCUGCCUGUAAGACUGGGAUAACUCCGGGAAACCGGGGCUAAUACCGGAUAAUAUCUAUUUAUACAUAUAAUUAGAUUGAAAGAUGGUUCUGCUAUCACUUACAGAUGGGCCCGCGGCGCAUUAGCUAGUUGGUGAGGUAACGGCUCACCAAGGCGACGAUGCGUAGCCGACCUGAGAGGGUGAUCGGCCACACUGGGACUGAGACACGGCCCAGACUCCUACGGGAGGCAGCAGUAGGGAAUCUUCCGCAAUGGACGAAAGUCUGACGGAGCAACGCCGCGUGAGUGAUGAAGGUUUUCGGAUCGUAAAACUCUGUUGUUAGGGAAGAACAAGUACCGGAGUAACUGCCGGUACCUUGACGGUACCUAACCAGAAAGCCACGGCUAACUACGUGCCAGCAGCCGCGGUAAUACGUAGGUGGCAAGCGUUGUCCGGAAUUAUUGGGCGUAAAGCGCGCGCAGGCGGUUCCUUAAGUCUGAUGUGAAAGCCCACGGCUCAACCGUGGAGGGUCAUUGGAAACUGGGGAACUUGAGUGCAGAAGAGGAAAGUGGAAUUCCAAGUGUAGCGGUGAAAUGCGUAGAGAUUUGGAGGAACACCAGUGGCGAAGGCGACUUUCUGGUCUGUAACUGACGC
This 721-nucleotide ribosomal RNA is filed under the name Bacillus sp. (in: firmicutes). RNAcentral's name for it is "bacterial SSU rRNA". It matches the Rfam family "Bacterial small subunit ribosomal RNA", at positions 41 to 746 of the family's 1533-position model. Lineage: Bacteria; Bacillati; Bacillota; Bacilli; Caryophanales; Bacillaceae. The record is from RNAcentral.